Ribosomal RNA from Gasterosteus aculeatus aculeatus (three-spined stickleback), 145 nucleotides. It matches the Rfam family "5.8S ribosomal RNA". From Rfam's summary of the family: 5.8S ribosomal RNA (5.8S rRNA) is a component of the large subunit of the eukaryotic ribosome. It is transcribed by RNA polymerase I as part of the 45S precursor that also contains 18S and 28S rRNA. Lineage: Eukaryota; Metazoa; Chordata; Actinopteri; Perciformes; Gasterosteidae. The record is from Ensembl.
AACUCUUAGCAGUGGAUCACUCGGCUCGCGCGUCGAUGAAGAACGCAGCUAGCUGCGAGAAGUAAUGUGAUUUGCAGGACACAUUGAUCAUUGACACUUUGAACGCAUCUUGCGGCCCGAGGGGGCUGGGUCGGCCGGGGUGCGA